UACGUAGGGUGCGAGCGUUGCUCGGAAUCACUGGGCGUAAAGGGUGCGUAGGCGGGUCUUUAAGUCAGGGGUGAAGUCCUGGAGCUCAACUCCAGAACUGCCUUUGAUACUGAGGAUCUUGAGUUCGGGAGAGGUGAGUGGAACUGCGAGUGUAGAGGUGAAAUUCGUAGAUAUUCGCAAGAACACCAGUGGCGAAGGCGGCUCACUGGCCCGAUACUGACGCUGAGGCACGAAAGCGUGGGGAGCAAACAGG
RNAcentral lists this ribosomal RNA (253 nucleotides) under uncultured bacterium. Its description in RNAcentral is "partial 16S ribosomal RNA". It matches the Rfam family "Bacterial small subunit ribosomal RNA", at positions 524 to 776 of the family's 1533-position model. The record is from RNAcentral.